AUGUCAAAAAUAGUUCUGGCUGAUGGGCAGCUUACUGUGCAUAAGUCAGUGCUGAAUCCGACUUCUCCCUUUCUACAUUGCCUGAUAGAAGUCAUUGGGGAAUACUCUGUAUGUGAAUUUUCACUGUUGGGGAAAGCAAUUUUUGGAAGGAGUCAAGGGAUUGGAUUGUGGAUUGCAUUAGUGGCGUUCCUCAGUUUCCUCAUCUUCUCCACAAGUUUCUACAUAUCGAAUGCAGAGCAGCCCUUCUUCAAAGGACCUCCUACGGAACCUGCUAAGGAACUCAGUCUGUAGCUCUGUGUGGAGCCAUGUGUAAACACUGAAACGAGACCUGCCACCUCCUACUACCUAAUGGCCCCUUCUCAUCUGAGAAGAUCAUUCCCUAGAAACAAGCUCAUGCUGAUGUCCAUGUUUUUUUGUUGUUGUUGUUGUUUUGUUUUUGGAUUGGAUAUAUGGAGAAUUUUCCUUUCCCUUAGAAUUAAAAUCCUGCUUUCUAGUUUUCAGCAAGCUUUUUAAUUUUGGAAUAAUUUUAAAUUUAAAGAGAAGUUGCAAAGAUAGUACAGAAUGUUUUCUUAUACCUCUCAUCUAUUUCCCCCUUUUAUUACCAUUUUACAUGACCAUGGUAUACUUUUUAAAACUAAUAUACCAACACCGAGGCUUUAUUAUCAACUACACUCCAGAUUGUACUUGGAUGUUGCCAGUUUUUCUAUGAAUGUUUUCUUUCUGUUCCUUGAUUCCCCUUUUUUGUUCUAUUAGUUAAAUAGUUAAUAGAAUACACAGUUAGCUAUUAAAUUAAUAGAAACCAUAAGUAGUUGACUAAUUAAUAGAAACCAGGACACCCAAUUGCUUAAGUAUCAUAUUUGCUUAGUCUCCUCUGGACUAUUGCAAUUUCUCAGUCUCUCCUUGUUUCAAAUGAUCUUGAUGGUUUUGAGAAACAGUGGUCAGAUUUUGCAGAAUGUUUCUUCUUUGGUGUUUGUCUAAUGUUUUCCUCAUCAUUAGACUAGUCUUAGGGUUAUUUUUGUAAGAAAGCUACAGACAAUAUGCAGGAAAAUGAUUAUGGACAUUUUACUAUAAAACUCUACUUAUAGGCACUGAGAUGUAAACUUCAUGUACUUGUCACACCACACAAUAUUCUGUUCAUUUUUAUUAUCAUUAAAAUAUGUAAAAAACAAAAAUAAACUCUCUUAAUUCACUAAACAAAAUUAAGAGGUUCUGAUUUGGCCCAUGCAGCAUUUCGUUGACCAUUGGUAUAGAGUAAUACCAUCUUACUUUUUACCGUAAAAAUAAUUGAAUAGACAUGAAGAAAUUAAUAAGACUCAGGUAUGCAGAUGCUAUUUAUGGGGGUGAGGAAGCAGCUUGUUGUAUACUAAGUGGCUAAACCAUUAUUGUGUUAUUGUCUUGCCUAUUAAUUUUAAGGAGUAUAUAUCACAGUCUAUAAUGGGCUUUGAGGGUUCUAAUGCAUGCAUGUGCGUGUCUGUAUGUGCAUGUGUGUUUGUGUGUGUGCCUGUGUGUGUGCGUAUUUUCACAGGAAACUGAGUGGAAACUCCAUGGCAGGCAUGGUCCCUACUGGCUGGUCCACAGGGAAUGUGCAGCCACUGUUGAUAGAAAUACCCGCCAGGUACAGCCGUUCGUAUGGCCUCUGGGUACAGGUGAUGACUGAUGAAUGCCAUCUGGUGUCAAUGCCGGGUCUGCUGAAUCUGACCAGCUCUUCUUGGUGUGACCCUGAUGCCUAUGUGAUGUGUCCUGGGGCUGCCCGUGUGUAUCUAAGGCUUUCCAACCUUUCCUGUCCUUCUCAAACCCAGUCAAUUUCCUUCCUAUACUUUUUUUUAUUUCUCAUAGGGCAGCCAGAAUGGCUUUCUGUUGCUUGAGAGAAUCAAUGAAAAGUAACAGUGUUCUCCCUUGAAUGUUGGACUUACAUGCAUAUAAUUGUGUAAUUCUGUUUAUUUUCAUUGUAUUGUUUUAUCAAUAGCUUCAUUCUCCUAAAAUACUGAAGAAAAAUGUGAUGUAAUUCAUGUUUGCUUCUAAGGCAAAUGUUCAUUUUCAGUAACCUAAGUUUAACUUCUCUCUAACUUGUGGUUGAGAUCACCUGUUUGUAUCUGUUUUUAUUUAGAGCGAUGUUCCCAGGAGGCGUGAUAAUGCAGCAAUGGACAAGGACAGGAACAAGAGACAGUUUUACCAUCUUCCUACAAUUUGUAGAUGGGACAGUGGAAACAGAAGCCACAUUGGGGUUGGGCAUGCAGAGAUCUGGCCCUAAAUCGAUGUGAAUUUUGCCAAUUGCUUUUGCCUCACAGAGCUCUAGGUUCUUACCUGACAAACAGGAACCAGACCAUCAGAUCCAUAGAGAUUUAAUCAAUGGAGCCUUUGAAAACUUCACACGGCCUGUGUCAAUGCGAGGUUGCUGGAUGAUUAUGACAAGAAAUCACAUUGAAUUCACUGUGGUAACAUUGUGGUAACAUUGUUCAUGAAACGGGAUAAUGUGUUUCAGCGAUGAACCACCACGGUCUUACGACAGACAUAUUUCCACUUUGAAAAGGUGUGUGCGUGUAUGUGUCUGUGUGUGAUACAGUGAUUGGAAAGUAUAAAUGUGUGCGUUUUCAUUUUACACAUCUUACAUUUUCCUUUAAAUUGUGUGAAAGCCUGUUUUGUUUGUGACUUCCAUUCUUGGAGGUCCCAUGAGUUGUUAGUGGUGAAGAUGGAACAGAUGGAGACUCCUGCCCUCAGGGACUGACCACUGCAAACAUCCCUCUCUCAUCUGAUUCCACUGUUUCUUCCACAUGUACACAUCAUGAGAAAUAAUGUUCAAUCAAUAUAUUUCUUUAAAUCAACUCAUAUGCUUAUUUACAUGAAUUUACCUAAAACAGAAACUUGAUAUCACUUCUGUAAAUGAAAAAAUUAAACUUUCUGGCUAUAAAUAAAGUGUAACAAUAAUAAUCAUGCCAAAAAAUA
This is a non-coding RNA of Macaca mulatta (Rhesus monkey), 2943 nucleotides long. The record is from RefSeq and is a predicted model, not a curated record. NCBI's taxonomy places the organism in Eukaryota, Metazoa, Chordata, Mammalia, Primates, Cercopithecidae.